RNAcentral lists this vault RNA (104 nucleotides) under Scophthalmus maximus (turbot). RNAcentral's name for it is "Vault RNA (ENSSMAG00000030230.1)". It matches the Rfam family "Vault RNA". From Rfam's summary of the family: This family of RNAs are found as part of the enigmatic vault ribonucleoprotein complex. The complex consists of a major vault protein (MVP), two minor vault proteins (VPARP and TEP1), and several small untranslated RNA molecules. The record is from RNAcentral. Lineage: Eukaryota; Metazoa; Chordata; Actinopteri; Pleuronectiformes; Scophthalmidae.
GCACUGGUUUAGCUCAGCGGUUACUUCGUUCAACUUUCUCCUGCAGAAACAUGAUUCACCAUUCUCUCCGGGGGAUCGAACCGCGGGCGCUGUCCAGUGUUUUC